Abrus precatorius (Indian licorice) is the source of this 2446-nucleotide RNA transcript. It is a transcript of the gene named probable protein phosphatase 2C 35, with no coding region annotated. The transcript has 5 exons. NCBI's taxonomy places the organism in Eukaryota, Viridiplantae, Streptophyta, Magnoliopsida, Fabales, Fabaceae. The record is from RefSeq and is a predicted model, not a curated record.
UUAUACAUUGUUGGGGUCAUUGGGGUGUGUUUCCUUGGAACAAGGACUUUCUCCAUGGAUAAACCCAACCAUGCACUCAUAGAAUAGAAUUAUAGAAUCUUUAAUGCCUGUGUUUGUGUUUGUGUUCGUGUCUGUGUCUGUGUCUGUGUCUGUGCUGUGUGUCACUGUCAUUCUCUUGGGAGAACAAACCACAAACCCAUUCCUGUGAAUUUCCGUUUGGACUCUUCCUUGCUACCCGCGUUUUCCUUCGAUGCUCUCUCUUUGCAUCCAAACGAAAAGUACAAUUCUUCCUUUCCCUUUCCAUAGCCCCACUACACACGUUCUCUACCUUUGUGGGGUUCCUCUGCCUCUAGGGUUCUCCUUUUCUCAGCCCCCUUCAUUUUGUGUGGCCUUCUUCAAAUCAUUCUCAUUUUUUAUUCAUUUCUCCAUAAUUCUUAAAUAUUCAAAUACCCUUUUGUUUUUUUUAACCUCUCGUCACGAUUCCCACCUCAAAAUCCCAAAUUUCCCCCUCAUCAUCACUAGGGUUUGUUUGUUCAUGUUUCUCAAACUCUCAACCUUGGAGCCACAAUGCGGAGUUUCAGAUGCAACUAAUUUAUAGUUCCCAUCCACCAUUGAUCUUUCCUUUGUGUUUUUUCCUUCAGGCCUUGUUUCUAGCAACUUUGCUUCUCUUUCCAAACAUGGGUUGUGUCCAUGGCAAGUGUUGUACUCGCUACCCUCCACCAUCAGUGGGUGGUUCAAGGGACUAUCGAGAACUUGGUCCUUUUUGUGCCCAAAGGAAGCACAUUCUCACUCAGACUUCACUUCAGUUUGUUCCUGUUCCUUCCCAUAACUUCACUUUGGAAUACUCUGUCCUCACUCAGAGAGGAUACUACCCUGACUCACCUGAUAAAGAAAACCAAGAUAGUUUCUGCAUUAGGACACAGUUUCAAGGUAAUCCAAGUGUUCAUUUCUUUGGCGUUUAUGAUGGGCAUGGCGAAUUUGGUUCCCAGUGUUCAAACUUUGUUAAGGAUAGGUUGGUAGAAAAUUUGUCUAGUGACACUGCAUUGUUGGAGGAUCCUGUUAAGGCCUACACUUCUGCGUUCUUGAAAACAAAUGAUGACUUGCAUAAUAAUGAGAUUGAUGAUUCUAUGAGUGGCACUACUGCAAUUACGGUGCUGGUUAUUGGAGACACCCUUUAUGUUGCUAAUGCUGGUGAUUCUAGAGCUGUGCUAGCUGUUAAGGAUGGGAACCGUGUUGUUGCCGAGGACUUAUCCUCUGAUCAGACACCAUUUAGGAGAGACGAGUAUGAGAGAGUGAAACUUUGUGGGGCAAGAGUGUUGAGUGUUGAUCAGGUGGAAGGGCAUAAAGAUCCGGAUAUUCAGACUUGGGGCGAUGAAGAAACUCAGGGAGAUGAUCCUCCUAGGUUGUGGGUUCAGAAUGGGAUGGUUCCUGGGGCUGCUUUUACAAGGAGUGUAGGGGAUAAGUUGGCUGAGACUAUUGGUGUCAUUGCUGUUCCGGAGGUGUCAACGGUUCAGCUUACACCUAAUCAUCUUUUCUUUGUUGUUGCAAGUGAUGGCGUAUUUGAGUUCCUAUCCAGCCAAACUGUUGUUGAUAUGGCAGCAAGUUAUUCAGAUCCUCGUGAUGCAUGUGCUGCCAUUGCUGGAGAGUCUUAUAAACUAUGGUUGGAACAUGAGGGCCGAACAGAUGAUAUAACCAUUAUCAUUGUUCAGAUCAAAGGCCUGUCUAAUUCAGGUACAUCUGGACUAAGAUCGGGUGAAAUCAAUGCCAGUACUGUAACGAGGACCAAGAGCAAGAGAGGAAAGGGAGCAUCUGAGAUCUCUGUAACUUCUGAGUUAGAUGUUUAUCGUUCUGUCAGGAACGGUUUCUCUGAUUUACAAUCCUGUCCGCAGCAUGUGGUCUCAACAAGAAGUCCAGCCAUAGUGGUCCCCUCUCCAGCAUGUCAAAGACCAAUUGAAUUGUGAUUGGAGAGAGAGGCUUUAUGGAAGCUUCACCCAGUCUCCUUGUACUUUUCUCCUAGCUGGCUGGUGAAGGUUUCUGGUUUGAAGUGCAUUCUUGGCAGCUGAACAUCUUUUUUCAGAAUGUAGAGUAGAAAGCAAAAAUGGUAAAUGGUCAUUUUCCUUCUGUUCUACCAUAUUUAAACGUUGUAAAGGAAGAAACUUAAGUAAAAGAGAGUUGUGUAGGAGUUUGGUUGGUGACUAACCUGACUACUAUUUGAAUAGAAUUGUAGUCAAAUGGUAGGCAACCCAUGUUCUAUUUAGAAUGUAAAUCCAUUAUUCUCAUUCUCAUGCUGAUGCUGGAUCCAGUGUAUCGUUUAGAAACAUAUCUGGAUUUUUUAAUUGCAUUUCAAGAUUAGUUUCAUGUUUUGUAUACUGCAAAUUGGUAAACGAAUGAAUGGUUGUGUAUAAGCAAUUGUCUCAUUUUCACUAUGCAAUUGAUAUGAUUUUUU